GUGAAACCGCGAAAGGCUCAUUAAAUCAGUUAUGGUUCCUUAGAUCGUACCCACAUUUACUUGGAUAACUGUGGUAAUUCUAGAGCUAAUACAUGCAAACCGAGCUCCAACCGGAGACGGAAGGAGUGCUUUUAUUAGAUUAAAACCAAUCGGCGGCAGUAUGGCYUCGGCUGUAUUGUUCGUCGAACAAUUUGAUGGUUCUGAAUAACUUUUAGCUGAUCGCACGGUCUUGCACCGGCGACGCAUCUUUCAAAUGUCUGCCUUAUCAACUGUCGAUGGUAGGAUCUGCGCCUACCAUGGUUGUAACGGGUAACGGGGAAUCGGGGUUCGAUUCCGGAGAGGGAGCUUGAGAAACGGCUACCACAUCCAAGGAAGGCAGCAGGCGCGCAAAUUACCCAAUCCCGGCACGGGGAGGUAGUGACGAAAAAUAACGAUACGGGACUCAUCCGAGGCCCCGUAAUCGGAAUGAGUACAUUUUAAAUCCUUUAACAAGGACCAAUUGGAGGGAAAGUCCGGUGCCAGCAGCCGCGGUAAAACCGGCUCCAAUAGCGUAUAUUAAAGUUGUUGCGGUUAAAAAGCUCGUAGUUGAAUCUGUGUCCCACGCUGUCGGUUCACCGCCCGCGGUGUUUAACUGGCACGUCUCGUGGGACGUCCUACCGGUGGAUGUAUGUUUGUCUCUGUAUACUUCCCUCCAUAUUAUGCAUUCAUUUAAUCGUGUUUCUAAUAUGGCGUGUGGGGUUGCAUUGUACCUUCAUCCGGCUUGUUGUACAAGUUAUCCUGUCGCGGUGCUCUUAAUUGAGUGUCAUGGCAGGCCGGUACGUUUACUUUGAACAAAUUAGAGUGCUUAAAGCAGGCUAAAAUUUUGCCUAUAUAAUCUGUGCAUGGAAUAAUCGAACAGGACCUCGGUUCUAUUUUGUUGGUUUUCGGAACCCCGAGGUAAUGAUUAAUAGGGACAGAUGGGGGCAUUCGUACUGCGACGUUAGAGGUGAAAUUCUUGGAUCGUCGCAAGACGGACAGAAGCGAAAGCAUUUGCCAAAAAUGUUUUCAUUAAUCAAGAACGAAAGUCAGAGGUCCGAAGGCGAUCAGAUACCGCCCUAGUUCUGACCAUAAACGAUGCCAGCUAGCGAUCCGCCGAAGUUCCUCCGAUGACUCGGCGGGCAGCUUCCGGGAAACCAAAGCUUUUGGGAUCCGGGGGAAGUAUGGUUGCAAAGCUGAAACUUAAAGGAAUUGACGGAAGAGCACCACCAGGAGUGGAGCAUGCGGCUUAAUUUGACUCAACACGGGAAACCUGACCAGGCCCGGACACCGGAAGGAUUGACAGAUUGAGAGCUCUUUCUUGAUUCGGUGGAUGGUGGUGCAUGGCCGUUCUUAGUCGGUGAAGCGAUUUGUCUGGUUAAUUCCGAUAACGGACGAGGCUCCAACCUGCUAAAUAGGCGUUAAUUACCGGUAUCCUGAAGGCUCGUGUCUUUAGUUAUUGUCUUUAUACAUGUUUGCGGAUAUUCGUUUAUACGUUAUACGCAACACAUUAUAUAUGUACGAUGCUAGAGUUCACGGUUUUUACUACCGGCGUACAUAUAUAUCUUCUUAGAGGGACAGGUGGCUUCAAGCCACACGAGAUUGAGCAAUAACAGGUCUGUGAUGCCCUUAGAUGUCCUGGGCCGCACGCGCGCUACACUGAAGGAAUCAGCGUGUUUUCCCUGGCCGAGAGGUCCGGGUAACCCGAUGAAACUCCUUCGUGCUAGGGAUUGGGGCUUGCAAUUAUUCCCCAUGAACGAGGAAUUCCCAGUAAGCACGAGUCAUUAACUCGUGUUGAUUAUGUCCCUGUUCUUUGUCCACACCGCCCGUCGCUACUAUCGAUUGAAUGAUUUAGUGAGGUCUUC
Molecule: ribosomal RNA, 1880 nt
Filed under: Trechodes bipartitus
Lineage: Eukaryota; Metazoa; Arthropoda; Insecta; Coleoptera; Carabidae
Description: SSU rRNA
Rfam family: Eukaryotic small subunit ribosomal RNA
Source: RNAcentral